Molecule: transfer RNA, 74 nt
Filed under: bacterium
Lineage: Bacteria
Also listed under: 4 other names
Description: tRNA-His
Rfam family: tRNA
About the family: Transfer RNA (tRNA) molecules are approximately 80 nucleotides in length. Their secondary structure includes four short double-helical elements and three loops (D, anti-codon, and T loops).
Source: RNAcentral
GUGAGUGUAGCUCAAUUCGGCAGAGCACCGGACUGUGGCUCCGGGGGUUGAGGGUUCGAGCCCCUUCACUCACC